GAGGAUACUAAUCUCGACCGAGAUAA
RNAcentral lists this non-coding RNA (26 nucleotides) under Drosophila melanogaster (fruit fly). The record is from RNAcentral. Lineage: Eukaryota; Metazoa; Arthropoda; Insecta; Diptera; Drosophilidae.